CGCAUAUUGCGCCCUCUGGUAUUCCGGUGGGCAUGCCUGUUCGAGCGUCAUUGAACACCCCUCAAGCUCUGCUUGGUGUUGGGCGCCGCCGCUCCUGCGGCGCGCCUCAAAUGAAACUUUGGCUGCGGGGUCCCCCUCCGAGCGUUGCGAGGCGUACCGACGUCACGCGUUUGGGAGGAGGGUCCGGCGGGCCAGCAAACAACCAGGUGGAUUCCCACCCCUCGUUUGACCUCGGAUCAGGUAGGGUUACCCGCUGAACUUAA
This 263-nucleotide unclassified non-coding RNA is filed under the name Satchmopsis brasiliensis. Its description in RNAcentral is "partial contains 5.8S ribosomal RNA, internal transcribed spacer 2, and large subunit ribosomal RNA". Lineage: Eukaryota; Fungi; Ascomycota; Leotiomycetes; Helotiales; Cochlearomycetaceae. The record is from RNAcentral.